GGGGAGUACGGCCGCAAGGUUAAAACUCAAAUGAAUUGACGGGGGCCCGCACAAGCGGUGGAGCAUGUGGUUUAAUUCGAUGCAACGCGAAGAACCUUACCUGGCCUUGACAUCCAGAGAACUUAGCAGAGAUGCUUUGGUGCCUUCGGGAACUCUGAGACAGGUGCUGCAUGGCUGUCGUCAGCUCGUGUUGUGAAAUGUUGGGUUAAGUCCCGCAACGAGCGCAACCCUUAUCCUUUGUUGCCAGCGGCUCGGCCGGGAACUCAAAGGAGACUGCCGGUGAUAAACCGGAGGAAGGUGGGGAUGACGUCAAGUCAUCAUGGCCCUUACGGCCAGGGCUACACACGUGCUACAAUGGCGCAUACAAAGAGAAGCGACCUCGCGAGAGCAAGCGGACCUCAUAAAGUGCGUCGUAGUCCGGAUUGGAGUCUGCAACUCGACUCCAUGAAGUCGGAAUCGCUAGUAAUCGUAGAUCAGAAUGCUACGGUGAAUACGUUCCCGGGCCUUGUACACACCGCCCGUCACACCAUGGGAGUGGGUUGCAAAAGAAGUAGUUAGCUUAACCUUCGGGAGGGCGC
RNAcentral lists this ribosomal RNA (578 nucleotides) under Pantoea dispersa. RNAcentral's name for it is "bacterial SSU rRNA". It matches the Rfam family "Bacterial small subunit ribosomal RNA", at positions 875 to 1453 of the family's 1533-position model. Lineage: Bacteria; Pseudomonadati; Pseudomonadota; Gammaproteobacteria; Enterobacterales; Erwiniaceae. The record is from RNAcentral.